This 497-nucleotide ribosomal RNA is filed under the name uncultured bacterium. RNAcentral's name for it is "partial 16S ribosomal RNA". It matches the Rfam family "Bacterial small subunit ribosomal RNA", at positions 28 to 507 of the family's 1533-position model. The record is from RNAcentral.
GAUGAACGCUGGCGGCGUGCCUAAUACAUGCAAGUCGAGCGAACGGACGAGAAGCUUGCUUCUCUGAUGUUAGCGGCGGACGGGUGAGUAACACGUGGAUAACCUACCUAUAAGACUGGGAUAACUUCGGGAAACAGUAGCUAAUACUGGAUAAUAUUUUGAACCGCAUGGUUCAAAAGUGAAAGACGGUCUUGCUGUCACUUAUAGAUGGAUCCGCGCUGCAUUAGCUAGUUGGUAAGGUAACGGCUUACCAAGGCAACGAUGCAUAGCCGACCUGAGAGGGUGAUCGGCCACACUGGAACUGAGACACGGUCCAGACUCCUACGGGAGGCAGCAGUAGGGAAUCUUCCGCAAUGGGCGAAAGCCUGACGGAGCAACGCCGCGUGAGUGAUGAAGGUCUUCGGAUCGUAAAACUCUGUUAUUAGGGAGGAACAUAUGUGUAAGUAACUGUGCACAUCUUGACGGUACCUAAUCAGAAAGCCACGGCUAACUACGUG